Molecule: long non-coding RNA, 4179 nt
Organism: Hemiscyllium ocellatum (epaulette shark)
Lineage: Eukaryota; Metazoa; Chordata; Chondrichthyes; Orectolobiformes; Hemiscylliidae
Exons: 2
Source: RefSeq, a predicted model, not a curated record
UCUGCCUUAAGGCGAUAAUAUUGCAAGUACCAAGAGGAAUUAAAAUUAAUAAUUCUACUUGUAUAUGGCUGUGAACAGAUAAUUUGCUGGAUGUUUAUUGUUUCUGAGUGCAUGCUAUCUGCGCUCUUCUGAAUGGGUUUAUCCAACGUUAUGUGAAGAAAAUUAUCCAGACGUUUGAUGAGUGGCAGGCACAAGAUGAGUCUGAUAAAGGGUGUGGAAUGUCGGAAAAAAGAGAACCUGGAGGUUGAAUAAAAUCAAACUGAAUUCGAGAUGAGAGACUCAUCGCAUGAAUGCAUCAUCACAGGUUCAUAUUUUCAACAUCAUUGCCAAGUCAACUUAUCAGAGGAGCAGUGUCUUGUGCAAGACCAUGACUGACAAAGGCUUUCAACAUAGUUUGUCAGUUACAUAGUGAUGAAAACCUCAUCACCCCACAAGUUCUGUCAUCAUCUGUUCUGUUCUCACGCCGUUGUCUGCAUUCCAUUAACCCACUGCCUAUAUCCUGUUGUCCACACUCUACUUUCUUAAUUGCCUUCCACCUAACCAAAGGAUCACAUUUAAUUUCUGCAGUCCUGCCACAUCCACUCAUGAAUAGUGGUGGACAAUUGAACACACACUGGAGGAGGAGUGUCAUCUAACAUCCCAUUUCUCAAGGGGUGCCUAGCACAGCAGGGCAAUGAAGAAUUUGCAAUAACCUUCAUUCAGAAUUGUUGAGCGGAUGAUCCAUCUUUGCCUCCUCCAGAGGCUCCCAACAUUACAGGGUCCCAACAUUACAGGGUGGCAUGGUGGCUCAGUGGUUAGCAUUGCUGCCUCACAGCACUAGGGACCCAGUUUUGAUUCCAGCCUCAGGUGACUGUCUGUGUGAAGUUUGCAUGUUCUUCCCAUGUAUGCGUGGGUUGCUCCGGGUUCCUCUGGACGUAUGAAUAGGAAGGGUUUAAAGGGAAUGUUCAUUCCACAUGAGAUCAAGAAAUAGAUGGAAACAUUGGAUAUUACAAAGUAUAUGGACACUGACAAUGUUCUGGCAACAUUACUGAAGACUUGUGCUUCAGAACUUGCCAUGUCCCCAUUAAAACACUAACAAUAUGGAAAAUUACCUGGGCAUUUCUUGCACACAAAAAGUAGAACAGGUGCAAACCAGCCAAUUACCACCCAAUCAGUCUACUGUUGAUCAUCAAUAAAAUAAUGGAAGGUGUCAUCAAGCCACUACAAGGCCAUGGCACCUUCCUCUACAACCGCUGAAGGUGUAACACCUGCCCAUUUACCUCCACUCUCCUUACUAUCCAAGGUCCCCCAACAUACGUUCCAGUUGAAGCAGCAUUUUGCCUGCACUUCUCACAAUCUAGUUUUUGGCAUUCACUGCUCAUAAAUGUGGUCUCCUCUACAUUGGGGAAAUGAAGUGUGGACCGUGUGACCAUUGAACAAAACACUGAUGUUCUCCCCCAAAAAUGAACUUGAACUUCAAGUUGCCUGUCACUUUAACACAACACCCUGCUCCCUGGCCAACAUUUCUUUCUCCGGCUUGCUCCAGUGCUCCAGUGAAACUCAGUAAAGCUGGAAGAACAACACCUCAUUUUCUGCUUGAGGACUUUACAGCCCUCUGGACUCAACAUUGAGUUCAAUAAUUUUAAGGCCUGAACUCCCCCAUGUCCUAGCUCCCAAUCCCACACACUAGGCCUUGUUCCCACAUGGUCUGCCAUCACACACUACCUAUUUUUAGCCACUAACAGUCUCUAUUAACAGCUACUCACUCUCCCAGUUAGAUCGCUAUCCAUUCCUUUGUCUGUCCAAUGUUCUUCUCUCUCUUUGGGCUGUAUCUCCACCUAUCAUUUAUUUUUUACCUCCUCCCCCACCCUAGCUUUUGCAUAUAAACCAACAUGUUCCUAGCUGCCAUCAGUUCUGAGGAGAGGUCACCAGACCCAAAGAUGCUGCCAGACCUGAUGAGUUUUUUCAGCAAUUUCUGUUUUUUUUUUCUUAUUCACAGCAUUCGCUGUUCUUUCAGCUUUUACACAGGAAUGUAGAGUUCAAAUUAAAGUCAAGUCAGACAUGAUGCAGUUGAAUGUAGACAAGGAGGGGGCUGGAAGGAAAAAGCAAGCCAGGCAGCAUCAGGAGGUGGAGAAGUUGAUAUUUCAGGCGUUACCCUUCUUGAAUCUUGUUGAAUGGCAGAACAGGCUUGAAGGGACAAUUAGCCUAUUCUUGUGCCUGCUUGAUUUGUCUAUAUGUGACUGGAAGCCUGUGUCCAAUGGUGUACUACUGGGUCAGAGCUGGGUCAUAGAAUUAUAGAAUCCCUACAGUGUGGAAACAGGCCAUUUGGCCCAACAAGUCCACACCAACCCUACGAAGAGUAACCCAUCCACACCCAUUCCACUACAUUUACCCCUGACUAAUGCACCUAGCUUACACAUCCCUGAACACUAUGGGCAAGUUAGCAUAACCAAUUCAGCUAACCCACACAUCUUUGACUGUGGGAAAAGACAAGAGCACCCAGAGGAAGAAACCAGUGCAUCGGGUGGCUGUUUUCUUUUGAGUACAGUGAUGAUCUAGACAUGAAUGUGAAUAGUUUGAUCAGUACAUUCACAGAUGACAUCAAAAUUGGUGAUAUUGUAAAUACUGAAAGGAAAGCCUAGGACUAGUACAUUACAGAUAAGCUGGUCUGGUGAGCAGAACAGUGGAAAAUGGGAUGUAGGAAUAUUAGCUAAGUUUCUGGGUUAAUAAUGCAAUGAUAUCACUGGGUCAUCAUAUACCCCCAGAAGGGAUUAAUUAUGAAGUUAUCUGGACCAGAGCAAUUCACCUGUGAAGAGAGACUACAUAGGUUGGUGUUGCUUUUUUCCUUAGAGAAGAGAAGGCUGGGGAGGAUCAGAUUGAGAUGCACAUGGUUCUGAGUGGCUUAGACAAGGCAGAAACUUUCCCCCUUAGUAGAGGAAUCAAUAGUUGGGAACACUGUUUUAAGGCAAGAAGCAGAAGAUUUUAAUUUGAUUGUUUUUUUUCUGAUUUGAGUGAACGCUUUGUUUUUGCUUCAAGAGUUGUCAGUAUCUGGAACCUACUGCCUGAGAAUGUAGUAGUGGCAGGAAUCCACAAAGUGUUUAAGAUACAGAUGGUGACAUCUUGAAAAAUGUCCAUAUUAUGGAGGAGGAGGUGCUGGAUGUCUUGAAAUGCAUAAAAGUGGAUAAAUCCCAGGACCUGAUCAGGUGUAGCCUGGAAUUCUGUGGGAAGCUAGGAAAGUGAUUGCUGGGCCCCUUGCUGAGUAAUUGUAUCAUUGAUAGUCACAGAUGAGGUGCCAGAAGACUGGAGGUCGGCUAACGUGGUGCCACUUUAAGAAAGGUGAUAAGGAAAAGCCAGGGAACUAUAGACCAGUGGGCCUGACAUCAGUGGUAGGCAAUUUUUUUUUUAGAUUAGAUUCUGUGCAGUAUGGAAACAAACCCUUCAGCCCAACAAGUCUACAUCGACCCUCGGAAGAGUAACCCACCCUACCCUAUAUGUACACCAACUAAUGCACCUAACACUACAGGCAAUUUAGCAUGGUCAAUUCAUCUGACCUGCACAUCUUUGAACUGUGGGAGGAAACCAGAGCACCCAGAGGAAACUCACGCAGACAAGGGGAGAAUGUGCACAUUCCACACAGACAGCCGCCCAAGGUGGGAGUCGAACCCAGGUCCCUGACACUGUGAGGCAGAAUUGCUAACCACUGAGCUACAGUGCAGACAUGAUGGACUGAAAGGUUGUAAAAAUUCCAAAACUCUAGCUCUAUGACACCUACACUCCCUAUCAUCUACCUAACCUCCCGCCAUCAAAGCCAAUUUUUCCUACUUAUUCAAAACUUCCGAACGGCUAUAUUGCUUACCUUAUUAACUUAUCACCUUUGUACCAUACCCACUUGACAAGUAAUUUCUUCCCACUUGGCAUGUGACCCUCACCUGGCACACUACCCACACCCUACUGGUACCAUAUCCAGCUGCCACCUCAUCAGGCACCCUAUAGAAUGGGCAUUCUAUGGUCCCCAACAUUUAUCCCACCCAGCUGACUCCUUACUUGCCUGGCAUCCUACCCUCAAGCCUCUCAGCAUCCUAACAUCACUCUUACCAUACCUACUUACAGCUACUGACAAAACAGCUGUCAGAAUCUUUACAUUUCAGAAAAAGGCAGCAAAAACUUUGAUACAGAGUUUAUUAAACUUUGUGAAAGAUC